This 269-nucleotide ribosomal RNA is filed under the name uncultured prokaryote. Its description in RNAcentral is "partial 16S ribosomal RNA". It matches the Rfam family "Bacterial small subunit ribosomal RNA", at positions 524 to 792 of the family's 1533-position model. The record is from RNAcentral.
UACGUAGGUGGCGAGCGUUGUCCGGAUUUACUGGGCGUAAAGGGAGCGUAGGCGGACUUUUAAGUGAGAUGUGAAAUACCCGGGCUCAACUUGGGUGCUGCAUUUCAAACUGGAAGUCUAGAGUGCAGGAGAGGAGAAUGGAAUUCCUAGUGUAGCGGUGAAAUGCGUAGAGAUUAGGAAGAACACCAGUGGCGAAGGCGAUUCUCUGGACUGUAACUGACGCUGAGGCUCGAAAGCGUGGGGAACAAACAGGAUUAGAUACCCGCGUA